RNAcentral lists this transfer RNA (72 nucleotides) under Bos taurus (domestic cattle). It matches the Rfam family "tRNA". From Rfam's summary of the family: Transfer RNA (tRNA) molecules are approximately 80 nucleotides in length. The record is from Rfam by way of RNAcentral. Lineage: Eukaryota; Metazoa; Chordata; Mammalia; Artiodactyla; Bovidae. RNAcentral also lists the same sequence under 3 other names.
UUCCUGGUGCCUGAAAUGGUAAAGAAGCCGCCUGCAAAGCAGUAGAUUCAGGUUCGAUCCCUGGGUUGGAAA